This 87-nucleotide transfer RNA is filed under the name Chloroflexota bacterium. RNAcentral describes it as "Chloroflexi bacterium tRNA-Leu". It matches the Rfam family "tRNA". From Rfam's summary of the family: Transfer RNA (tRNA) molecules are approximately 80 nucleotides in length. Their secondary structure includes four short double-helical elements and three loops (D, anti-codon, and T loops). Lineage: Bacteria; Bacillati; Chloroflexota. The record is from RNAcentral. RNAcentral also lists the same sequence under 1 other name.
GCCGAAGUGGCGGAAUGGCAGACGCGGCGGUCUCAAAAACCGCUGAGCCACAAGCUCGUGUGGGUUCGAAUCCCACCUUCGGCACCA